AUGGGCCCUAAGGCGCGGCCCGCGGGACAGCCCGCGACCAAUGCGGCCCGGUACGACAGCCCCGGGGCGACCAAGCGAGGGGCAAGGGUUUCCCCGAGCGCCGCCGCAGUGGCCGCCGGCGGGGCAGGACGGGGGCGGCGAAGCCAGGCCGGGGCACACUGGACUCCAGGAGGCGGAGGGACGGAGGCGCCGAACGCGGAGAUGAAGGGACGGAAGGGGCAGCGCCGGAAGAGCACAGUCGAGAGCUCCAACGAAGUUGAUGUCGAUGGGCAGGCUGGAGCAGAGGAGGACGAAGCCGGGACAGCAGCUCUCUAG
RNAcentral lists this ribosomal RNA (315 nucleotides) under Triticum aestivum (bread wheat). RNAcentral describes it as "partial small subunit ribosomal RNA". The record is from RNAcentral. Lineage: Eukaryota; Viridiplantae; Streptophyta; Magnoliopsida; Poales; Poaceae.